GAGGCUCUGUUGUAGUAACCGAUUCAGUUGUUGUCAGAUGCUCUGUUGUAGUAACUGAUCCUGUUGUUGUUUGAGGUUCUGUUGUAGCCACUGAUUCAGUAGUUGUUAGAGGAUCCGUUGAAGUAACUGAUUCAGUUAAUGUUUGAGGUUCUGUUGUAGUCACUGAUUCAGUAGUUGUGAGAUGUUCAGUUGAAGUAAUUGAUUCAGUUGUUGUUUGCGGUACUGUUGAAGUAACUGAUUCAGUUGUUGUUCGAGUUUCUGUUGUUGUAACUGAUUCAGUAGUUGUUUUAGGUUCUGUUGUAGUAACUGAAUCAGUAGUUGUUUGAGGAGUUAUUGAUUCCGUUGUUGUUUGAGAUUCUGUUGUAGUCACUGAUUCAGUUGUUGUGAGAGGUUCAGUUGAAGUUACUGAUUCAGUUGUUGUUUGU
Long non-coding RNA from Mytilus californianus (California mussel), 425 nucleotides. RefSeq lists it as uncharacterized. The record is from RefSeq and is a predicted model, not a curated record. The transcript is spliced from 3 exons. NCBI's taxonomy places the organism in Eukaryota, Metazoa, Mollusca, Bivalvia, Mytilida, Mytilidae.